Molecule: ribosomal RNA, 238 nt
Filed under: uncultured bacterium
Lineage: Bacteria
Description: partial 16S ribosomal RNA
Rfam family: Bacterial small subunit ribosomal RNA
Source: RNAcentral
AAACGAGCGAGUAACGCGUGCUUAACCUGCCCCGAAGAUGGGAAUAACUACAGAGAUGUAGCUAAUUCCCAAUAUGCUCACGAUGGUGAAAUUCCGAUGUGAGGAAAGAUUUAUCGCUUCGGGAGGGGGGUGCGUCCUAUCAGGUAGUUGGUAAGGUAAUGGCUUACCAAGCCUAUGACGGGUAACCGGUCUGAGAUGAUGUCCGGUCGCGAUGGGACUGAGAUACGGCCCAUACUCC